This 494-nucleotide ribosomal RNA is filed under the name uncultured bacterium. RNAcentral's name for it is "partial 16S ribosomal RNA". It matches the Rfam family "Bacterial small subunit ribosomal RNA", at positions 28 to 507 of the family's 1533-position model. The record is from RNAcentral.
GACGAACGCUGGCGGCGUGCUUAACACAUGCAAGUCGAACGGAAAGGCCUGCUUUCCCUUGUGGAUUGCGGGUACUCGAGUGGCGAACGGGUGAGUAACACGUGAGUGAUCUGCCCCCAACUUGGGUAUAAGCCUGGGAAACUGGGUCUAAUUCCCGAUAGGACUGCAGGGUGGUGCCUGUGGUGGAAAACGAUUUUCUAGUGGUUGGGGAUGAGCUCGCGGCCUAUCAGCUUGUUGGUGGGGUGAUGGCCUACCAAGGCGGCGACGGGUAGCCGGCCUGAGAGGGUGGACGGCCACAUUGGGACUGAGAUACGGCCCAGACUCCUACGGGAGGCAGCAGUGGGGAAUAUGGCACAAUGGGCGGAAGCCUGAUGCAGCGACGCCGCGUGGGGGAUGACGGCCUUCGGGUUGUAAACUCCUUUCGACCGCGAGGAAGCCACCUGGUUGGAAGGGUGGUGACGGUAGUGGUAGAAGAAGCACCGGCUAACUACGUG